GAUGAAGAACGUAGCGAAAUGCGAUAAGUAAUGUGAAUUGCAGAAUCCAGUGAAUCAUCGAAUCUUUGAACGCACAUUGCGCCCGCCAGUAUUCUGGCGGGCAUGCCUGUUCGAGCGUCAUUUCAACCAUCAAGCCCCCGGCUUGUGUUGGGGACCUGCGGCUGCCGCAGGCCCUGAAAAGCAGUGGCGGGCUCGCUGUCACACCGAGCGUAGUAGCAUACAUCUCGCUCUGGGCGUGCUGCGGGUUCCGGCCGUUAAACCACCUUCAUAACCCAAGGUUGACCUCGGAUCAGGUAGGAAGACCCGCUGAACUUAAGCAUAUCAAUAAGCGGAGGA
RNAcentral lists this unclassified non-coding RNA (336 nucleotides) under soil metagenome. Its description in RNAcentral is "partial contains 5.8S ribosomal RNA, internal transcribed spacer 2, and large subunit ribosomal RNA". The stretch from base 1 to 120 matches the Rfam family "5.8S ribosomal RNA", at positions 35 to 154 of the family's 154-position model. The record is from RNAcentral.